GAUGAAGAACGCAGCGAAAUGCGAUAAGUAAUGUGAAUUGCAGAAUUCAGUGAAUCAUCGAAUCUUUGAACGCACAUUGCGCCCCCUGGUAUUCCGGGGGGCAUGCCUGUCCGAGCGUCAUUACAACCCUCAAGCUCUGCUUGGUGUUGGGCCCCGCCGCCCCGGCGGGCCCUAAAGUCAGUGGCGGUGCCAUCCGGCUCCGAGCGUAGUAAUUCUUCUCGCUCUGGAGGUCCGGUUGUGUGCUUGCCAUCAACCCCCAAUUUUUUUCAGGUUGACCUCGGAUCAGGUAGGGAUACCCGCUGAACUUAAGCAUAUCAAUAGCGGAGGA
RNAcentral lists this unclassified non-coding RNA (328 nucleotides) under soil metagenome. Its description in RNAcentral is "partial contains 5.8S ribosomal RNA, internal transcribed spacer 2, and large subunit ribosomal RNA". The stretch from base 1 to 120 matches the Rfam family "5.8S ribosomal RNA", at positions 35 to 154 of the family's 154-position model. The record is from RNAcentral.